GCCAUUUUCUGACAUUUGAAAAGAUCUGAAGAUACGCCCCUUGGAUGCCUGCAGAGAAGCUCUGGGGCUUCAGUCAAUGACUCAGGGUAGCCACCGAACAUGAUGCUCGGGCAGUGGGUGCCACCUGGACUCCACUCUCCCCUCUCUCUGGGAUCAUAGAGUCCAAGGUGUUCUGUGGCCUCUCGGCCAAUCCCAGCAGCUCAGCGUGCAGAAGACCGAGGAGCCAUUGGUCAGUGUAGGAGGUGCCUGGAGUUUUGGAGAUGGGAUCCACAGGAAUUCAACACAACACGAAAUAAUCAACAAAUUCGGGGAAUGUUAAUCUGACCAUCACCAGUUACAAAUGAUGUUUCAUGCUACCUUCUAUUCCUGCCUUCAUAAAUCAAGGUAAUUACUUGGCAAUCUGGCUAUGCCUUGUAAGGCAAAAGAGCUGUUCAUUUCUUGUGUCAAAUGGUGAACAGGGAGGGAGAGUAAAAUGGUAAAUAACCCUGCCUCCCAUCUGUGCCCAAUCAGCUCUAAAUCUCCAGGAAAAAAUGUGCUCAGGAUGGCCAGAGAAAUGUCCUUCCAACUGUGCAUGGAAAGGUAUGAUUUUGUGCAGCAGGUGAAGGACUGGUUAGAGUAAGUGUGUGCUGAGCUUUUGUGUUUGAAAGCGAGCCUGUGCACUUCUAACGAUUGGAAGGUUUCCUUGCCUUCUCCGAUCUUACACACAGCAAGGACAGCAAAGCCUUCCAGACCUGCCUGUGACAUGCACUGCACAUUCUAAAGAUGCCUAUGCAAUGGAAAACACCACUGUCUGCUCCAGCACAGCUGCCAUUCUUCCAUCUUAUCGACCUUAAUGCAACAACUCCUCACAGGCAGAGAUUUUAAAAUGUGUUCUUGGCAGAAGAGAGACUCAAAGAUGGGACAAAUGUGUCAUUUAAAUGCCUGUUAAAAUGGAAACAGACAUAGUAUAGUCAGAGGAUUGUGGCAGCUAAGAACAUAGUCUCUGGAGCAAAUCUGCAUGGGUGGCAAUGCCAAGCACAUGAGGUCCUAGUUGUAUGAACUUAGGAAAAGAAAAAGAGAACAUAUAUCCCCCUACCUUUUGAUUUCCAACAGUCUACUGAGAGGCCAAGAUUAUUUGCAGGGAAAGAAAAGGGGUCAAAAUGUUUUGCCAGUAACUCCCAAAUCAUCUACAGCCAAGGAGAAAAGUGUUUCAAGACAGAGGUGCUCAAUGGUAUCAAAUACUGCCAACAGACCAAGUAAUACAUGCAUUGAAGUGUCUACUGGAUCUAGCUAUAUGAAUUUUUAAUUUAGGACACUUAGGCCAUACUGAAGCAAGGUGACAAAAUGAAUAGCUACAAUGUCUCGUGAAUCUUGGGUUUCCAUUCACCCUGGUAUUCAAGAGAAAUUCUUGCAUCAUGGAAGUUGCAGUUGGAUAGGACUUUCUCAGCUGAACACUGUCAUCUGCCAGAGCUUCAGGCAAGAACCCAGAACAGAUGAAACCCCAGACAUGACAAAAUAAGCCAAAGAAUACCAGGCCAAGGUGUGAAAGGCCAGAUGAGAACAAGCAGCGUACACGAUUCUGUUGCCAACAGAUCUCCCCUAACAGUGUCGUGCACCAAAUUUCCACAGUGAAUGUCAGGAAAAAAUGGCAAUUGAGGUGGGUGGUCAAAAGAGAAGCACAGUCUAUGAUGAAGUCACCCCAGAGAAGUCCUUUUUCCGUUUUCUCCUGAGAAAUUACCAGAAGAAAUUAAAAUCCUUUUGAGUAUUGCAUU
Molecule: long non-coding RNA, 1751 nt
Filed under: Homo sapiens (human)
Lineage: Eukaryota; Metazoa; Chordata; Mammalia; Primates; Hominidae
Description: HSALNT0356370
Source: RNAcentral